Molecule: ribosomal RNA, 460 nt
Filed under: uncultured bacterium
Lineage: Bacteria
Description: partial 16S ribosomal RNA
Rfam family: Bacterial small subunit ribosomal RNA
Source: RNAcentral
CCUACGGGUGGCAGCAGUGAGGAAUAUUGGUCAAUGGACGGAAGUCUGAACCAGCCAUGCCGCGUGCAGGAAGACGGCCCUAUGAGUUGUAAACUGCUUUUGUACAAGGGUAAACCUGCUUACGUGUAUUCCGCUGAAAUUACUGUACGAAUAAGGAACGGCUAACUUCGUUCCAGCAGCCGCGGUAAUACGGAGGAUCCGAGCGUUAUCCGGAUUUAUUGGGUUUAAAGUGUGCGUAGGCGGAUUGAUAAGUUAGAGGUGAAAUGUCCGGGCUUAACUCGGGAACUGCCUCUAAUACUGUUGAUCUAGAGAGUAGAUGCGGUAGGCGGAAUGUAUGGUGUAGCGGUGAAAUGCUUAGAGAUCAUACAGAACACCGAUGGCGAAGGCAGCUUACCAAUCUAUAUCUGACGUUGAGGAGCGAAAGCGUGGGGAGCAAACAGGAUUAGAUACCCCGGUAGUC